CUAUAAUGCAGUCGAACGCUUCUUUUUCCACCGGAGCUUGCUCCACCGGAAAAAGAGGAGUGGCGAACGGGUGAGUAACACGUGGGUAACCUGCCCAUCAGAAGGGGAUAACACUUGGAAACAGGUGCUAAUACCGUAUAACAAUCGAAACCGCAUGGUUUUGAUUUGAAAGGCGCUUUCGGGUGUCGCUGAUGGAUGGACCCGCGGUGCAUUAGCUAGUUGGUGAGGUAACGGCUCACCAAGGCGACGAUGCAUAGCCGACCUGAGAGGGUGAUCGGCCACAUUGGGACUGAGACACGGCCCAAACUCCUACGGGAGGCAGCAGUAGGGAAUCUUCGGCAAUGGACGAAAGUCUGACCGAGCAACGCCGCGUGAGUGAAGAAGGUUUUCGGAUCGUAAAACUCUGUUGUUAGAGAAGAACAAGGAUGAGAGUAACUGUUCAUCCCUUGACGGUAUCUAACCAGAAAGCCACGGCUAACUACGUGCCAGCAGCCGCGGUAAUACGUAGGUGGCAAGCGUUGUCCGGAUUUAUUGGGCGUAAAGCGAGCGCAGGCGGUUUCUUAAGUCUGAUGUGAAAGCCCCCGGCUCAACCGGGGAGGGUCAUUGGAAACUGGGAGACUUGAGUGCAGAAGAGGAGAGUGGAAUUCCAUGUGUAGCGGUGAAAUGCGUAGAUAUAUGGAGGAACACCAGUGGCGAAGGCGGCUCUCUGGUCUGUAACUGACGCUGAGGCUCGAAAGCGUGGGGAGCAAACAGGAUUAGAUACCCUGGUAGUCCACGCCGUAAACGAUGAGUGCUAAGUG
This 800-nucleotide ribosomal RNA is filed under the name uncultured bacterium. Its description in RNAcentral is "bacterial SSU rRNA". It matches the Rfam family "Bacterial small subunit ribosomal RNA", at positions 51 to 822 of the family's 1533-position model. The record is from RNAcentral.